CACUGCAGAGCAUCUCCUUAUUUUACCUGGCUUUGGUCCGCCGCUCUCUCUGAGCCCAACCCUAGCAAGUUAGGUGAGGCCUCACAGAUGAAGCCAGUUCUCUUUGAUUCACUCAAUCCACACUUUGGAUUCUAAGGCUCUCUACUUUCCAAAGGUGCCAUGGAAAUGUUGUUUGACAGAUUGGUUUCCUUUGACUUGCUCAAGCGAUUGGAGAAAGUAUUGUUGAAGAUCCAUGUAGUAGUCAACAAGGCGGAAGAGAGGCAUAUCUGCAUAAGCGAGGUACUCGACUUCAUUCCUUCUCGUUGUGGUAGUUUAAGCCCCACUCAGUCCAUGGGGUCCAAGAUAAGGGCAAUCAGUUGCCGGUCAGGAGAUAUUUCUGUUCUAGGUUUGAAGAAGGUUGCAGUGACAAUUUGUGCUUUGGAAACACCGAUCUCUGAUGGUAGAGAUGUUACAACGAUGUUAAGAAAUGAUAGCAUGGGGAUUUUUAUUAUUGGAAUGGGUGGAGUUGGUAAGAUUAGAUGCACAAAUUUUAUAUUAAAUUGAGCAAUGCUUUGCUUAUUGUUCAACGUCGGAUAAAGGGUUAUACAUCACACCCUUUGAUAAAACCGAUCGAGAAUAAGCAAAGUGAUUAUUUUCAUACAUUAUUAUUAAAGUCAUUUUUUCAAAAAUCACCUCCGUCCGAGGGGUGAAUGUAAUGCAUGACCUCAUUAAUGAUGUAGCUCAAUUUGUGAGAAGAGAAAUAUAACAUCUGUUCUCGUUGCUGGAGAAAUAUGCUUUAUAUAUGUUGAAAUAUUUUUUAAUAUAAGAUGGAGAAAGAAGAUAGGUAGCAAAUAAUAUUGAAAGGAAGAUCGGAUGUAAUCAUCAUAUACAAGACAAAGAGGAUGAUAAGUUGGAGGUUACCUUGUAAUACACUAUUUGGGAAAGUACUCUUUGAGAAUUCAUUUUUGAGGUGUAAUAAGCUGAGAUCGAGGAAAUGCAAACCUAUUUUUGUACUGAAAAAGGAAGUGGUUAUUGACGUGGUUUAUUGGCUUACUAUUUUCUCGUCAAUCUUCCACAAUUCCAUGCAGAUUUGUAGUGCUUAUGGUGUAGAAAGGUCAAAGGAUAAGAAAGGAUUUAUUUCCUUUAUGAAUGUGUAUUCUCAGUGAUUAUUGGAAGUUUUGUCUUCUGUUACAUGAAGAGGGCUUCCCAUUGAUGGAAGAGAUGAAGGAACUCAAGAUCUGUGAGCUGGUACCCAAUGGGAAGCUGUGAUUGCAAUUUGUAUGGUUGUAGAGUUGUACAUUAGGGACGCCUGUGUUGAUUUUUGUUUGAACUUUUCUCCAACACAACUUUGAUUUUUCACUCAGUAAAUGCCCAUAAGUAAAUGUUUUUGAUUUGAUUA
Long non-coding RNA from Vitis vinifera (wine grape), 1378 nucleotides. RefSeq lists it as uncharacterized. The record is from RefSeq and is a predicted model, not a curated record. The transcript is spliced from 4 exons. NCBI's taxonomy places the organism in Eukaryota, Viridiplantae, Streptophyta, Magnoliopsida, Vitales, Vitaceae.